This 253-nucleotide ribosomal RNA is filed under the name uncultured bacterium. RNAcentral describes it as "partial 16S ribosomal RNA". It matches the Rfam family "Bacterial small subunit ribosomal RNA", at positions 524 to 776 of the family's 1533-position model. The record is from RNAcentral.
UACGGAGGGUGCAAGCGUUGUUCGGAAUCAUUGGGCGUAAAGCGCGUGUAGGCGGCUUGGUAAGUCGGGUGUGAAAUCCCGGGGCCCAACCCCGGAAUUGCACUCGAAACUGCCUCGCUAGAGUCCCGGAGAGGAAGGCGGAAUUCCCGGUGUAGAGGUGAAAUUCGUAGAUAUCGGGAGGAACACCAGCGGCGAAGGCGGCCUUCUGGACGGUGACUGACGCUCAGACGCGAAAGCGUGGGGAGCAAACAGG